UACGAAGGGGGCUAGCGUUGUUCGGAAUUACUGGGCGUAAAGCGCGCGCAGGCGGCCUUUCAAGUCAGGGGUGAAAGCCCGGAGCUCAACUCCGGAAUUGCCUUUGAAACUGUCAGGCUCGAGUACGGGAGAGGUGAGUGGAAUUCCCAGUGUAGAAGUGAAAUUCGUAGAUAUUGGGAAGAACACCGGUGGCGAAGGCGGCUCACUGGCCCGUUUCUGACGCUCAGGCGCGACAGCGUGGGGAUCAAACAGG
Molecule: ribosomal RNA, 253 nt
Filed under: uncultured bacterium
Lineage: Bacteria
Description: partial 16S ribosomal RNA
Rfam family: Bacterial small subunit ribosomal RNA
Source: RNAcentral